UACGUAGGGGGCAAGCGUUAUCCGGAUUCACUGAGUGUAAAGGGAGCGUAGACGGCGACGCAAGUCUGGAGUGAAAGCCCGGGGCCCAACCCCGGGACUGCUCUGGAAACUGCGUCGCUGGAGUACGGGAGGGGCAGGCGGAAUUCCUGGUGUAGCGGUGAAAUGCGUAGAUAUCAGGAGGAACACCGGCGGCGAAGGCGGCCUGCUGGACCGUGACUGACGUUGAGGCUCGAGAGCGUGGGGAGCAAACAGG
This 253-nucleotide ribosomal RNA is filed under the name uncultured bacterium. RNAcentral describes it as "partial 16S ribosomal RNA". It matches the Rfam family "Bacterial small subunit ribosomal RNA", at positions 524 to 776 of the family's 1533-position model. The record is from RNAcentral.